RNAcentral lists this unclassified non-coding RNA (400 nucleotides) under soil metagenome. RNAcentral's name for it is "partial contains 5.8S ribosomal RNA, internal transcribed spacer 2, and large subunit ribosomal RNA". The stretch from base 1 to 121 matches the Rfam family "5.8S ribosomal RNA", at positions 35 to 154 of the family's 154-position model. The record is from RNAcentral.
GAUGAAGAACGUAGCGAAAUGCGAUAGGUAGUGUGAAUUGCAGAUGUAACGUGAAUCAUCGAAUCUUUGAACGCAAAUUGCACUCUCUGGUAUUCCGGGGAGUAUGCCUGUUUGAGGGUCGCCAAAUCAACAUCGAAAUUCAUUUGCUUUUGUAAAUGUUUAUCGGAUUUGAGCCGUCUUUUUAUUUUUUUUAAAGUGGCUUAAAAUGUAUUUUUUUGGUAUCGAAAAACGUUAUUUUACGAUCCAAUCGAUCAAAAAACAAACGUUUCGAAUGCCGUCUUUUAAUGUAAUACGUUAGACUGUGUCAUACAAUCAUGGUUUCAUUCGUAUACGAGUUUAAUUUUUGACCUCAAAUCAGGUAAGAACACCCGCUGAACUUAAGCAUAUCAUAAGCGGAGGA